AUGAAUAUCGCCCUACUCUCCUGCUGGCUUUGGCGCAUCUCGCAAAGGCAUGGUGGCCUUUGGCUGGACAUCAUCCGGAACAAAUACUUGCGCGGACAACCCCUCGCCUUUUGUCAGAAGUCUGGUGGAUCUCAGUUCUAGCAGUCGAUUGUCCAGCUUCUCCCGGUCCUCCGUAAUGGGACCUCCAUCUCGGUCGGAUCCAGGACAUCGACGCUGUUCUAGUUCGAUCGCUGGGCUGGGGACACUCCCUUUGAGGCUCACUUUCCUGGCCUCUUCUCCAUCUCCGUCGAUCCCGUGAUCUCUGUGGAAAGGGCCCUUCUUGACUUAGGGCGCCUUGCUUUCCGGCGGGCCUUUGGCCCCAUGGAAUCCGCCGCGUGGCGUGAGUUGCUUGACUGUGUUGCUCUCCACGAACCGAUGGUGGAUGGUGGCCCUGACCUGGUGCGUUGGCGCCUUGAGCCUUUGGGCCAAUUCUCCACCAAGUCGCUAUACAUGGACAUCGCCCCAUCUUCCGCCCCUCUCCCCCUAUCGAUGGUGUGGUCCAUCCACCUGCCCCUGAAGACCAUAUCUUCAUGUGGCAAUGGAUUCACGGUCGGAUCCUGUGUGCGGUGGAGGUGCGCAAGCGGAAUGGCCCGGGUACGGGCAUCUGCCCACUUUGUGGGGUCCCGGAAGACUCGAAACACAUUUUCUUCUCCUGUGUAUCCGCUCAGUUCCUCUGGAGCUGCUUUCGCGAAGCGGUCGGUGGAAAUUGGUGCCACACCAACUUCCCCGACCUAUUUGCCGAACUCCAGAUGUCCCCCGUGA
RNAcentral lists this ribosomal RNA (801 nucleotides) under Triticum aestivum (bread wheat). RNAcentral describes it as "partial small subunit ribosomal RNA". The record is from RNAcentral. Lineage: Eukaryota; Viridiplantae; Streptophyta; Magnoliopsida; Poales; Poaceae.